Molecule: ribosomal RNA, 393 nt
Filed under: uncultured bacterium
Lineage: Bacteria
Description: partial 16S ribosomal RNA
Rfam family: Bacterial small subunit ribosomal RNA
Source: RNAcentral
AUACGGAGGAUCCGAGCGUUAUCCGGAUUUAUUGGGUUUAAAGGGAGCGUAGGUGGAUUGUUAAGUCAGUUGUGAAAGUUUGCGGCUCAACCGUAAAAUUGCAGUUGAAACUGGCAGUCUUGAGUACAGUAGAGGAGGGCGGAAUUCGUGGUGUAGCGGUGAAAUGCUUAGAUAUCACGAAGAACUCCGAUUGCGAAGGCAGCUCACUAGACUGUUACUGACACUGAUGCUCGAAAGUGUGGGUAUCAAACAGGAUUAGAUACCCUGGUAGUCCACACAGUAAACGAUGAAUACUCGCUGUUUGCGAUAUACAGUAAGCGGCCAAGCGAAAGCAUUAAGUAUUCCACCUGGGGAGUACGCCGGCAACGGUGAAACUCAAAUGAAUUGGCGGGG